UACGAAGGGGGCUAGCGUUGUCCGGAAUCAUUGGGCGUAAAGCGCGUGUAGGCGGCUCAGUCAGUCUGGUGUGAAACCUUGGGGCUCAACCCCAAGCCUGCACUGGAUACUGCUGAGCUUGAGUCCGGGAGGGGAGAGCGGAAUUCCUAGUGUAGCGGUGAAAUGCGCAGAUAUUAGGAAGAACACCGGUGGCGAAGGCGGCUCUCUGGAACGGUACUGACGCUGAGACGCGAAAGCGUGGGGAGCGAACAGG
This 253-nucleotide ribosomal RNA is filed under the name uncultured Actinomycetes bacterium. Its description in RNAcentral is "uncultured actinobacterium partial 16S ribosomal RNA". It matches the Rfam family "Bacterial small subunit ribosomal RNA", at positions 524 to 776 of the family's 1533-position model. Lineage: Bacteria; Bacillati; Actinomycetota; Actinomycetes. The record is from RNAcentral.